This 522-nucleotide ribosomal RNA is filed under the name uncultured Glomeromycotina. RNAcentral describes it as "SSU rRNA". It matches the Rfam family "Eukaryotic small subunit ribosomal RNA", at positions 569 to 1092 of the family's 1831-position model. The record is from RNAcentral. Lineage: Eukaryota; Fungi; Glomeromycota.
AGCAGCCGCGGUAAUUCCAGCUCCAAUAGCGUAUAUUAAAGUUGUUGCAGUUAAAAAGCUCGUAGUUGAAUUUCGGGGUUAGCAGGUCGGUCGUGCCAUUGGUAUGAACUGGUCUCGCUGAUCCCUCCCUCUUGACGAACUGUGAUGCCAUUAAUUUGGUGUCGCAGGGAAUCAGGACUGUUACUUUGAAAAAAUUAGAGUGUUUAAAGCAGGCUUUCGCUUGAAUACAUUAGUAUGGAAUAAUGAAAUAGGACGUUUGAUCCUAUUUUGUUGGUUUCUAGGAUUGACGUAAUGAUUAAUAGGGAUAGUUGGGGGCAUUAGUAUUCAAUUGUCAGAGGUAAAAUUCUUGGAUUUAUUGAAGACUAACUACUGCGAAAGCAUUUGCCAAGGAUGUUUUCAUUAAUCAAGAACGAAAGUUAGGGGAUCGAAGACGAUCAGAUACCGUCGUAGUCUUAACCAUAAACUAUGCCGACUAGGGAUCGGAUGAUGUUAAUUUUUUAAUGACUCAUUCGGCGCCUUACG